RNAcentral lists this long non-coding RNA (296 nucleotides) under Triticum aestivum (bread wheat). Its description in RNAcentral is "long non-coding RNA (TAES_LNC013631)". The record is from RNAcentral. Lineage: Eukaryota; Viridiplantae; Streptophyta; Magnoliopsida; Poales; Poaceae.
CUGGUUGUCUAGCUUAACUGGUUUCACUUUCAGAGUGGUUGUUUACAGGUAUUGUACUAGGUUCAGAGUGGCAAGAUUGUACAGCUGUCUGAACUUUCGGCCAACCAUGGCUUAUGCUCACCAUUUUACUACUCAUGUAUUUCAGGAUCGUCAUCUUGGAGCAUUUCAUCUUGUGGCCCUCGGAGACCUGUUGAAGAAGAAUGGGAAAACGCAACCCCAACAACGUCAAGAAGAGCAUCUGGCAGCUCCUCUGCGGCUGUGGGUCGCCUGAGACCCGCAACUAAUCAAGAUCGGAA